Molecule: unclassified non-coding RNA, 256 nt
Filed under: Bombus terrestris (buff-tailed bumblebee)
Lineage: Eukaryota; Metazoa; Arthropoda; Insecta; Hymenoptera; Apidae
Description: misc RNA ENSBTSG00005022658.1
Source: RNAcentral
UUUACGACUCCUCUCGUAACAUAUUAAUUUGUCUAAUCGGUUUUAAACGUCCGCCUCUGCUCUUCCCAAUCUCCAAGUGCAAAUCAACGAGGCCGAGCAAUGGUCGACGAUUCUCGAGUUGAUAGUAGACACGAUAAUAGAUAUGUGGAAGACAAUUAUUAACUCCACAUUCGUUUAUAAGUAUUAUUGUACUUAGUGGUUUCAUAUAAAACGCGAUAAUUGAUCUAAAUCAUUACGGAAGCGAUUAACCGAUCAG